GUGGCUGUGGCUCAGUGGUAGAGCGCUUGCCUUACACAUAUGAGGCACUGGAUUCGAUCCUCAGCACCACG
This 71-nucleotide transfer RNA is filed under the name Ictidomys tridecemlineatus (thirteen-lined ground squirrel). Its description in RNAcentral is "Spermophilus tridecemlineatus (thirteen-lined ground squirrel) tRNA". It matches the Rfam family "tRNA". Rfam says of the family: Transfer RNA (tRNA) molecules are approximately 80 nucleotides in length. Their secondary structure includes four short double-helical elements and three loops (D, anti-codon, and T loops). Further hydrogen bonds mediate the characteristic L-shaped molecular structure. tRNAs have two regions of fundamental functional importance: the anti-codon, which is responsible for specific mRNA codon recognition, and the 3' end, to which the tRNAs corresponding amino acid is attached (by aminoacyl-tRNA synthetases). tRNAs cope with the degeneracy of the genetic code in two manners: having more than one tRNA (with a specific anti-codon) for a particular amino acid; and 'wobble' base-pairing, i.e. permitting non-standard base-pairing at the 3rd anti-codon position. The record is from Rfam by way of RNAcentral. Lineage: Eukaryota; Metazoa; Chordata; Mammalia; Rodentia; Sciuridae.